Molecule: unclassified non-coding RNA, 275 nt
Filed under: Glomeraceae sp.
Lineage: Eukaryota; Fungi; Glomeromycota; Glomeromycetes; Glomerales; Glomeraceae
Description: partial contains 5.8S ribosomal RNA and internal transcribed spacer 2
Rfam family: 5.8S ribosomal RNA (bases 1-65)
Source: RNAcentral
GUGAAUCAUCAAAUUUUUGAACGCAAAUUGCACUCUCCUCGGAGAGUAUGCCUGUUUGAGGGUCAGCCUAUAAAAAUCGACAUCGUUGCUGUUUCGCGGUGGCGUUCGUCGGGAAUUGGGGCAUCUUAAAUCCUUUUGAUUUAAGCGACCUAAAAUUUUCUUUUGGUUCCAUGAACAUUUCUAAGAUCUAUUUCUUUACACACUUAAGGGAUAGAUUUUUUCUUUACGUGACCAUCAUAUCGGGUCGCGUCCAUAAUCUUUCAUUUACUGACAUC